UGUUCUACUUCAAUUAACUUUAUUGAUGACAUGACAGGCGUCCAUUAUGUUCUACUUCAAUUAACUUUAUUGAUGACAUGACAGGCGUCCAUUAUGUUCUACUUCAAUUAACUUUAUUGAUGACAUGACAGGCGUCCAUUAUGUUCUACUUCAAUGAACUUUAUUGAUGACAUGACAGGCGUCCAUUAUGUUCUACUUCAAUGAACUUUAUUGAUGACAUGACAGGCGUCCAUUAUGUUCUACUUCAAUGAACUUUAUUGAUGACAUGACAGGCGUCCAUUAUGUUCUACUUCAAUUAACUUUAUUGAUGACAUGACAGGCGUCCAUUAUGUUCUACUUCAAUGAACUUUAUUGAUGACAUGACAGGCGUCCAUUAUGUUCUACUUCAAUUAACUUUAUUGAUGACAUGACAGGCGUCCAUUAUGUUCUACUUCAAUUAACUUUAUUGAUGACAUGACAGGCGUCCAUUAUGUUCUACUUCAAUUAACUUUAUUGAUGACAUGACAGGCAUCCAUUAUGUUUUACUUCAAUGUAUACAGACAAUAACAUUUGGAAAUCAUCGUAAAAAUGACUCCAUGCUUCUGGAGUCAACGGCUAUUCUGUUGUUGACUCAAUCUGUCGACAUGGUCAGUCAUAAUGUAAUCAUUUGGGCUACUAGAUUAGGUCAGUCAUAAUGUAAUCAUUUGGGCUACUAGAUUAGGUCAGUCAUAAUGUAAUCAUUUGGGCUACUAGAUUAGGUCAGUCAUAAUGUAAUCAUUUGGGCUACUAGAUUAGGUCAGUCAUAAUGUAAUCAUUUGGGCUACUAGAUUAGGUCAGUCAUAAUGUAAUCAUUUGGGCUACUAGAUUAGGUCAGUCAUAAUGUAAUCAUUUGGGCUACUAGAUUAGGUCAGUCAUAAUGUAAUCAUUUGGGCUACUAGAUUAGGUCAGUCAUAAUGUAAUCAUUUGGGCUACUAGAUUAGGUCAGUCAUAAUGUAAUCAUUUGGGCUACUAGAUUAGGUCAGUCAUAAUGUAAUCAUUUGGGCUACUAGAUUAGGUCAGUCAUAAUGUAAUCAUUUGGGCUACUAGAUUAGGUCAGUCAUAAUGUAAUCAUUUGGGCUACUAGAUUAGGUCAGUCAUAAUGUAAUCAUUUGGGCUACUAGAUUAGGUCAGUCAUAAUGUAAUCAUUUGGGCUACUAGAUUAGGUCAGUCAUAAUGUAAUCAUUUGGGCUACUAGAUUAGGUCAGUCAUAAUGUAAUCAUUUGGGCUACUAGAUUAGGUCAGUCAUAAUGUAAUCAUUUGGGCUACUAGAUUAGGUCAGUCAUAAUGUAAUCAUUUGGGCUACUAGAUUAGGUCAGUCAUAAUGUAAUCAUUUGGGCUACUAGAUUAGGUCAGUCAUAAUGUAAUCAUUUGGGCUACUAGAUUAGGUCAGUCAUAAUGUAAUCAUUUGGGCUACUAGAUUAGGUCAGUCAUAAUGUAAUCAUUUGGGCUACUAGAUUAGGUCAGUCAUAAUGUAAUCAUUUGGGCUACUAGAUUAGGUCAGUCAUAAUGUAAUCAUUUGGGCUACUAGAUUAGGUCAGUCAUAAUGUAAUCAUUUGGGCUACUAGAUUAGGUCAGUCAUAAUGUAAUCAUUUGGGCUACUAGAUUAGGUCAGUCAUAAUGUAAUCAUUUGGGCUACUAGAUUAGGUCAGUCAUAAUGUAAUCAUUUGGGCUACUAGAUUAGGUCAGUCAUAAUGUAAUCAUUUGGGCUACUAGAUUAGGUCAGUCAUAAUGUAAUCAUUUGGGCUACUAGAUUAGGUCAGUCAUAAUGUAAUCAUUUGGGCUACUAGAUUAGGUCAGUCAUAAUGUAAUCAUUUGGGCUACUACAGUAUCAGAACAUGAGAUAUUAGAUCAGUAAUAAUGUAAUGGGCUACUACAGUAUCAGAAUACAUUCUUUCUUACCAAAACAAGUAAAACAUUGACUGAUAUUUCAUCCGGCCAAGAU
Oncorhynchus keta (chum salmon) is the source of this 1960-nucleotide long non-coding RNA. RefSeq lists it as uncharacterized. The record is from RefSeq and is a predicted model, not a curated record. The transcript is spliced from 3 exons. NCBI's taxonomy places the organism in Eukaryota, Metazoa, Chordata, Actinopteri, Salmoniformes, Salmonidae.